Molecule: long non-coding RNA, 752 nt
Filed under: Ananas comosus (pineapple)
Lineage: Eukaryota; Viridiplantae; Streptophyta; Magnoliopsida; Poales; Bromeliaceae
Description: long non-coding RNA (ACOM_LNC030236)
Source: RNAcentral
AACGGGAAAAAUCCCAUAUGGUUUCGCACUUUUUCACUUUAGUACCCUAUAGUUUAAAGUGUAUUAAUUUACUCUUUUGUCGUUUCGUUUUUUUCUUUUUAUUAUCAAUUUUAUUAUUUUUUUUUAAAUUAGUGACAAAGUUAAAAUUAGGAAUAAUUGCCAAUAUAUCCUUCAUGCGUUUGAAUAUAUCCGGCUUAUCCCUAUUUUUUUUUCUUUCAAAAAUACCCCUCAUAUGUUCCACCGUUAUUCCAAAAUACCCCCGCAAUUAUUCCCGGUUAAACUAACUCGGGUUAAACAUGGGUUAAAUGUAUACCAAAGUUAAAACCUAAUUAAAAUACCUAUUUUACCCCUAUUUUAUUAAACUAUUUCCUUAAAUUAUUCUUUCUUUCUCUCCCAACUUAAUAUCAUUACUCUCAAUCAAGCCUGCCGCUCGCCGCCCGCCGCCGCGAGUGCCAGCAGCUCACCGCCACCGCCAACCUCGGCGCCGGCUCCUCCGCCUCCACCUUCGCCCCCAAGAAGCCUCACCUCAUUCGCACAAAAAAAACGGCCCGCAAGUCGCCGCUCUCGUCGUCGUCGCGCGUCCUCCUCCUUCGUCGCCUUGGCCGGCGCCGGGAGCAAGAGCAUGCCGGCAGACGGGACAAAAGAGGAGGAGGAGAGGGAGGCGGAGGGCAUGAAGUUAGGCGGGGGCAUGUCGGAGGAGCGGAGGGAGGGGACGGCGGAGCCGGUGGAGAUGAAGAGGGGGCGGAGCUCAU